RNAcentral lists this ribosomal RNA (2720 nucleotides) under Salmonella enterica subsp. enterica serovar Enteritidis. RNAcentral describes it as "partial 23S ribosomal RNA". It matches the Rfam family "Bacterial large subunit ribosomal RNA". The record is from RNAcentral. Lineage: Bacteria; Pseudomonadati; Pseudomonadota; Gammaproteobacteria; Enterobacterales; Enterobacteriaceae.
GUGCUAAUCUGCGAUAAGCGCCGGUAAGGUGAUAUGAACCGUUAUAACCGGCGAUACCCGAAUGGGGAAACCCAGUGUGAUUCGUCACACUAUCAUUAACUGAAUCCAUAGGUUAAUGAGGCGAACCGGGGGAACUGAAACAUCUAAGUACCCCGAGGAAAAGAAAUCAACCGAGAUUCCCCCAGUAGCGGCGAGCGAACGGGGAGGAGCCCAGAGCCUGAAUCAGCAUGUGUGUUAGUGGAAGCGUCUGGAAAGGCGCGCGAUACAGGGUGACAGCCCCGUACACAAAAGCGCAUGUGCUGUGAGCUCGAUGAGUAGGGCGGGACACGUGGUAUCCUGUCUGAAUAUGGGGGGACCAUCCUCCAAGGCUAAAUACUCCUGACUGACCGAUAGUGAACCAGUACCGUGAGGGAAAGGCGAAAAGAACCCCGGCGAGGGGAGUGAAAAAGAACCUGAAACCGUGUACGUACAAGCAGUGGGAGCACCCUUUGGGUGUGACUGCGUACCUUUUGUAUAAUGGGUCAGCGACUUAUAUUCUGUAGCAAGGUUAACCGAAUAGGGGAGCCGGAGGGAAACCGAGUCUUAACCGGGCGUUAAGUUGCAGGGUAUAGACCCGAAACCCGGUGAUCUAGCCAUGGGCAGGUUGAAGGUUGGGUAACACUAACUGGAGGACCGAACCGACUAAUGUUGAAAAAUUAGCGGAUGACCUGUGGCUGGGGGUGAAAGGCCAAUCAAACCGGGAGAUAGCUGGUUCUCCCCGAAAGCUAUUUAGGUAGCGCCUCGUGAAUUCAUCUCCGGGGGUAGAGCACUGUUUCGGCUAGGGGGCCAUCCCGGCUUACCAACCCGAUGCAAACUGCGAAUACCGGAGAAUGUUAUCACGGGAGACACACGGCGGGUGCUAACGUCCGUCGUGAAGAGGGAAACAACCCAGACCGCCAGCUAAGGUCCCAAAGUCAUGGUUAAGUGGGAAACGAUGUGGGAAGGCCCAGACAGCCAGGAUGUUGGCUUAGAAGCAGCCAUCAUUUAAAGAAAGCGUAAUAGCUCACUGGUCGAGUCGGCCUGCGCGGAAGAUGUAACGGGGCUAAACCAUGCACCGAAGCUGCGGCAGCGACACUGUGUGUUGUUGGGUAGGGGAGCGUUCUGUAAGCCUGUGAAGGUGUGUCGUGAGGCAUGCUGGAGGUAUCAGAAGUGCGAAUGCUGACAUAAGUAACGAUAAAGCGGGUGAAAAGCCCGCUCGCCGGAAGACCAAGGGUUCCUGUCCAACGUUAAUCGGGGCAGGGUGAGUCGACCCCUAAGGCGAGGCCGAAAGGCGUAGUCGAUGGGAAACGGGUUAAUAUUCCCGUACUUGGUGUUACUGCGAAGGGGGGACGGAGAAGGCUAUGUUGGCCGGGCGACGGUUGUCCCGGUUUAAGCGUGUAGGUGUGUGUUCCAGGUAAAUCCGGUUCACUUUAACACUGAGGCGUGACGACGAGGCACUACGGUGCUGAAGCAACAAAUGCCCUGCUUCCAGGAAAAGCCUCUAAGCAUCAGGUAACAUCAAAUCGUACCCCAAACCGACACAGGUGGUCAGGUAGAGAAUACCAAGGCGCUUGAGAGAACUCGGGUGAAGGAACUAGGCAAAAUGGUGCCGUAACUUCGGGAGAAGGCACGCUGACACGUAGGUGAAGUGAUUUACUCAUGGAGCUGAAGUCAGUCGAAGAUACCAGCUGGCUGCAACUGUUUAUUAAAAACACAGCACUGUGCAAACACGAAAGUGGACGUAUACGGUGUGACGCCUGCCCGGUGCCGGAAGGUUAAUUGAUGGGGUCAGCGCAAGCGAAGCUCCUGAUCGAAGCCCCGGUAAACGGCGGCCGUAACUAUAACGGUCCUAAGGUAGCGAAAUUCCUUGUCGGGUAAGUUCCGACCUGCACGAAUGGCGUAAUGAUGGCCAGGCUGUCUCCACCCGAGACUCAGUGAAAUUGAACUCGCUGUGAAGAUGCAGUGUACCCGCGGCAAGACGGAAAGACCCCGUGAACCUUUACUAUAGCUUGACACUGAACAUUGAGCCUUGAUGUGUAGGAUAGGUGGGAGGCUUUGAAGUGUGGACGCCAGUCUGCAUGGAGCCGACCUUGAAAUACCACCCUUUAAUGUUUGAUGUUCUAACGUGGACCCGUUACCCGGGUUGCGGACAGUGUCUGGUGGGUAGUUUGACUGGGGCGGUCUCCUCCUAAAGAGUAACGGAGGAGCACGAAGGUUGGCUAAUCCUGGUCGGACAUCAGGAGGUUAGUGCAAUGGCAUAAGCCAGCUUGACUGCGAGCGUGACGGCGCGAGCAGGUGCGAAAGCAGGUCAUAGUGAUCCGGUGGUUCUGAAUGGAAGGGCCAUCGCUCAACGGAUAAAAGGUACUCCGGGGAUAACAGGCUGAUACCGCCCAAGAGUUCAUAUCGACGGCGGUGUUUGGCACCUCGAUGUCGGCUCAUCACAUCCUGGGGCUGAAGUAGGUCCCAAGGGUAUGGCUGUUCGCCAUUUAAAGUGGUACGCGAGCUGGGUUUAGAACGUCGUGAGACAGUUCGGUCCCUAUCUGCCGUGGGCGCUGGAGAACUGAGGGGGGCUGCUCCUAGUACGAGAGGACCGGAGUGGACGCAUCACUGGUGUUCGGGUUGUCAUGCCAAUGGCACUGCCCGGUAGCUAAAUGCGGAAGAGAUAAGUGCUGAAAGCAUCUAAGCACGAAACUUGCCCCGAG